RNAcentral lists this ribosomal RNA (425 nucleotides) under uncultured bacterium. Its description in RNAcentral is "partial 16S ribosomal RNA". It matches the Rfam family "Bacterial small subunit ribosomal RNA", at positions 354 to 796 of the family's 1533-position model. The record is from RNAcentral.
GUGGGGAAUAUUGGACAAUGGGCGAAAGCCUGAUCCAGCAAUGCCGCGUGAGUGAUGAAGGCCUUAGGGUUGUAAAGCUCUUUUACCAGGGAUGAUAAUGACAGUACCUGGAGAAUAAGCUCCGGCUAACUCCGUGCCAGCAGCCGCGGUAAUACGGAGGGAGCUAGCGUUGUUCGGAAUUACUGGGCGUAAAGCGCACGUAGGCGGCUACUCAAGUCAGAGGUGAAAUCCCGGGGCUCAACCUCGGAACUGCCUUUGAUACUGGGUGUCUUGAGUAUGAGAGAGGUGUGUGGAACUCCGAGUGUAGAGGUGAAAUUCGUAGAUAUUCGGAAGAACACCAGUGGCGAAGGCGACACACUGGCUCAUUACUGACGCUGAGGCGCGAAAGCGUGGGGAGCAAACAGGAUUAGAUACCCCAGUAGUCC